Bacillus sp. FJAT-27986 is the source of this 116-nucleotide regulatory RNA element. It matches the Rfam family "epsC RNA". The record is from Rfam. NCBI's taxonomy places the organism in Bacteria, Bacillati, Bacillota, Bacilli, Caryophanales, Bacillaceae.
AGGUGAUGCCUCCUAACCUUUAUCAAGGGAGACACUCGGCCGUGCUGUGGGAGGUAGAAAAGCUUCCUUAGAUGCAAGUCAUCAGUAGGAUGGUGUGAGGGUGGGUUAGAUGCCCA